Molecule: ribosomal RNA, 253 nt
Filed under: uncultured bacterium
Lineage: Bacteria
Description: partial 16S ribosomal RNA
Rfam family: Bacterial small subunit ribosomal RNA
Source: RNAcentral
UACGGAGGGGGCUAGCGUUGUUCGGAAUUACUGGGCGUAAAGCGCACGUAGGCGGACCAGCAAGUUGGGGGUGAAAUCCCGGGGCUCAACCCCGGAACUGCCUUCAAAACUGUUGGUCUGGAGGUCGAGAGAGGUGAGUGGAAUUCCGAGUGUAGAGGUGAAAUUCGUAGAUAUUCGGAGGAACACCAGUGGCGAAGGCGGCUCACUGGCUCGAUACUGACGCUGAGGUGCGAAAGCGUGGGGAGCAAACAGG